This 71-nucleotide transfer RNA is filed under the name Ovis aries (sheep). It matches the Rfam family "tRNA". From Rfam's summary of the family: Transfer RNA (tRNA) molecules are approximately 80 nucleotides in length. The record is from Rfam by way of RNAcentral. Lineage: Eukaryota; Metazoa; Chordata; Mammalia; Artiodactyla; Bovidae.
UCCUGGUAGCUCAGCUGGUAAAGAAUCUGCCUGCAAUGUAGAAGACCUGGGUUUGAUUCCUGGAUCAGGAA